RNAcentral lists this transfer-messenger RNA (396 nucleotides) under subsurface metagenome. Its description in RNAcentral is "transfer-messenger RNA, SsrA". It matches the Rfam family "transfer-messenger RNA". From Rfam's summary of the family: Bacterial tmRNA, also known as 10Sa RNA or SsrA, is named for its dual tRNA and mRNA-like properties. Its role is to liberate the mRNA from a stalled ribosome. The record is from RNAcentral.
GGGGCUGACUGGUUUUGACAUCCGGGCAAGAUGUUAUGCAAGCAUGCCGAGCUUGGUGAUUAUGCUCGUUAAACUCAAUCGCAAAUCGUAAAUGGCGAAAACAAAUACGCUCUCGCUGCCUGACCGAAGUUUAGUAGGUUAGUUGCAUAAUCCCGGUAUUAGAUAUUGGGACGAGACGUCUCACGGGCGGUUUUACUUUGUUCCAACCCGGUUAUGAGGCGCAGGCAAUUCAAGGUUAGUUGGCAGGAUGCUCUGGUCUGCCGGCGAAACUUAAGGAGCUAAGGUAAAGCUUGGGUGUUUUGCACCGUGUUUUUCCCGACAAUCAAGCAAAACUAAGCAUGUAGAAAACAUAUGGUCUCCCGGUGUGGACGAGGGUUCGACUCCCUCCAGCUCCAC